UACGAAGGGGGCUAGCGUUGUUCGGAAUUACUGGGCGUAAAGCGUAUGUAGGCGGAUCGUUAAGUCGGGGGUGAAAUCCCGAGGCUCAACCUCGGAACUGCCUUCGAUACUGGCGAUCUUGAGUCCGGAAGAGGUGAGUGGAACUCCUAGUGUAGAGGUGGAAUUCGUAGAUAUUAGGAAGAACACCAGUGGCGAAGGCGGCUCACUGGUCCGGUACUGACGCUGAGGCACGAAAGCGUGGGGAGCAAACAGGG
This 254-nucleotide ribosomal RNA is filed under the name uncultured bacterium. RNAcentral describes it as "partial 16S ribosomal RNA". It matches the Rfam family "Bacterial small subunit ribosomal RNA", at positions 524 to 777 of the family's 1533-position model. The record is from RNAcentral.